GCACGGAUGGCAGAGUAGCUAUGCAAGGGAUUGCAGAUCCCUGGACCCGGGUGCAAAUCCCGGUCCGUGCUCCA
RNAcentral lists this transfer RNA (74 nucleotides) under Euryarchaeota archaeon TMED215. Its description in RNAcentral is "tRNA-Cys". It matches the Rfam family "tRNA". From Rfam's summary of the family: Transfer RNA (tRNA) molecules are approximately 80 nucleotides in length. Their secondary structure includes four short double-helical elements and three loops (D, anti-codon, and T loops). Further hydrogen bonds mediate the characteristic L-shaped molecular structure. tRNAs have two regions of fundamental functional importance: the anti-codon, which is responsible for specific mRNA codon recognition, and the 3' end, to which the tRNAs corresponding amino acid is attached (by aminoacyl-tRNA synthetases). tRNAs cope with the degeneracy of the genetic code in two manners: having more than one tRNA (with a specific anti-codon) for a particular amino acid; and 'wobble' base-pairing, i.e. permitting non-standard base-pairing at the 3rd anti-codon position. RNAcentral also lists the same sequence under 4 other names. Lineage: Archaea; Methanobacteriati; Methanobacteriota. The record is from RNAcentral.